Molecule: long non-coding RNA, 1798 nt
Organism: Equus asinus (donkey)
Lineage: Eukaryota; Metazoa; Chordata; Mammalia; Perissodactyla; Equidae
Source: Ensembl
GUCAGCAGCUCAGGAGUGACUGGUCUGAGCUGAGUCCUGAAGGGUGCCUCAGGAACUGUGGUCUUCAGCCCCCCUCCCAAGCUCACAGAUCCAAAGGCACAAUUCACGAACCCGAAGUGACGUCCGUUCCUUUCCUCCACCCUGCCCAGCCUGCCAUGGGUGGCCGUUGUGACACCUUGGUGGAGCUGGAAAUGCACAGUGGUCUGAACCCAUGUCCACUGUCAGGGCCUGGAGCCUUGGGGGCGGGUGUCCCAUCGUAAUGAGGAUGCCCAUGCUGCAGAGGCGGCACUCUGGCGUCAGGGGCUCAGGAGGGACAGGGCCUCGCUCAGCAGGCCCCCAGCCUGCUCCCCAGCCCCUGGGAGGCAGGGGUAUAAGGAAGGCUGCCUCAUCCAGACGCCCAGCAGAGCCUUCCGACUGGAGUCCCAGCCCCACCAGAGAGGGGGCUGGCACUGGCCACAUUCACCUGUAUUCUCCGCAUCUGGAACAACAGCUGGAGUGCCAUUGGUGCUCAGGAGAUCCCACACCCAGGAAAGGAGAGAUGAUGCAGUAGCUCUGGCCGCUGCCGGGCCUUUGAGCCCCUGGAGCCCUCGCUGCAGGUCCCCUGGGCUGCUGGGCUCGGAGCCGUAUGCUGCCACCCUCAGCCACGCAGGGACCAGCUGAAAAGGUGUGUAUUAUGAGAAAGAGGGUCACCAAACGCAGGCGCUUUAGGGGCCUUCAUCCAGCACAUGGACUCAAGCACAACAUUCGGCUUGCUGCUCCAGACAUUGGUGGUCUGGCGUGUUGCUGCUGGCGGUGCAGAAUAGCUCAGGAAGGACCUCUGGAAGCCACCUGCUGUCAGGAACACUGCCUGGAGGAGGCAGCAGGGCCAGCAAGAUAAAGCAGUCUGGGGCCGUGCAGAGGCGGGCCAAAGUCCCCAGCACCUGGCCACUUCUGAGUGAUCUAAAGCAGGGUAAGAUGGAGGGGGUGCUGGUGACCGAGUGGAGGCAGGGAGCAGAAGUGGCCAAGUGACAUGUCCCAAGUGGCAAGGGACAUGAACUUCGGCUUCGUCCCAAUUUUGAGGCAGGGCUGGCAAGCCUCCACCACCUUGGCAUGGAGGGUGGGGGCGUCACCUGUUGAGUAACCAAGCAAGGCUGGACCAGGAGAUGCUUAACCCGGUGUGGAAAGCAGAGUCUCCUGGGACCUGGGCUCCCCCAGCCGAGCUAUGCCAGGUGUAGGAGGGGACCUGGAGUUUGGGCAGCUGAGCUUGGGGCGCCUGCAGGGCGAGGGCCAGGGAGCCUCCACCUCCCAGAAAGCUGGCACACCAGGCUGCUGGCCGGCUGCCCAGAGGACAGUGGGAUAGCGGCUCCCCACACACAAAAAAAAGAGGUGGUUGAGGUUGGGGACAGGGUCAGACGGAAGGCCCAGGCGCUGCCUUCCUCCGGGCCUGGCUCCUCUGCAGCUCUGGCGCUCAGCCUGGACCCUGCGCCCCUCCCCUCCUUAGGGGUGGACCAACCCAGGGUCCCAUGGACCUGUCCCCGGGCUACUUUCCUCACGCCACCCUCGGAGAGCCGGCUGGGCCUGGCCUCCUGUGUGCCCAGCUCCAGGCCACACCUCGGAAGGCAGCUGCUGCCCGCCCACUGCUGAUGGGAGCCAGUGGCCACACUCUGGUCGCCCAGGCCCCCUGGACGCAGGCGUCCAACUUCCGCUGUCCUCCACGGGCUGACCUUCCAGGCAGGUGCAUUGCUCCAGCCCCACACCAGCCCCGUUCCCUUCCACCCGAGGGCUGGGCCUCAGGCAGUGACUCUGGGGAGCCUGGCCU